Oncorhynchus keta (chum salmon) is the source of this 800-nucleotide long non-coding RNA. RefSeq lists it as uncharacterized. The record is from RefSeq and is a predicted model, not a curated record. NCBI's taxonomy places the organism in Eukaryota, Metazoa, Chordata, Actinopteri, Salmoniformes, Salmonidae. The transcript is spliced from 3 exons.
UCGUUCGCGAACUGGCGCCGGGCUGUCGUCACCGUCACGGCUCUCGUUGAUAGGCACUGGCGUUUGUGUCGCUGGAUGGGCUGGAGCGAAACUGGGUUCAUUUACAGCAUGUGGCAACAGAGGGCGAGAGACAGGACGGAGAGACCACAGAGACUCCAGGAACUUCAUGCCAAUUUGCUAAAUGGAAAGAGAAAUAGACGAGCGCUGUCCAAAAUAACUUAAAUAGAGGGAAAGCCAGGACUGUGAAGUGGACCACGCAGAACGGUAAAGAUUCCAGAGGCGAAUGACCAUUGAAGGGGAAGAGAAAACGCACUGCAAGCAAAACCAGUGAAUACCUGAAUUUCGUGAGUGAGACUGAGGACUCAUACCUGGAGACACUUGAGGCCCAGUGUCAGCAGCAGGAUCAGCUCUUUAAUCAGCUGUGUGAUGAUGAGGCAGCAGACAGGACAGCCAGGGCUGCUGAGAUGGCCCAGACCGCCUUGUUUAAUAACACCUACAUAGCUGUAUUUGGACAGUUUGUCCAAGCCAUAAAAGCUCAACGUGUCACUAGACUAAACUGGCUGAAGUUCUUAUGUAAAAUGCUUAUUUUUUUAUUUUCUUAAAUUUGCUCUACACCAAACGCAUCGUGAAUGUGGUUUUCAAUUACUGUUCAUUGAAUUUAGCCUACGGUUAAACAAUUAAAAUAUACAUGUUGGAGCAAUACAUUUCUUAAACAUGCUUGUGUUGAUUUUAACUGUAGGAAAUAAAGAUUAGACAUGAUUUACACACUUUUGUUAAAAAACAAACGUUGGUCGAACAUA